This 72-nucleotide transfer RNA is filed under the name Camelus bactrianus (Bactrian camel). It matches the Rfam family "tRNA". Rfam says of the family: Transfer RNA (tRNA) molecules are approximately 80 nucleotides in length. Their secondary structure includes four short double-helical elements and three loops (D, anti-codon, and T loops). The record is from Rfam by way of RNAcentral. Lineage: Eukaryota; Metazoa; Chordata; Mammalia; Artiodactyla; Camelidae. RNAcentral also lists the same sequence under 2 other names.
GAGGGUAUAGCUCAGUGGUAGAGUGUCUGCCUAGAAUGCAUGAGGUCCUGGGUUCAAUUCCCAAUACCUCCA